UUAAGUUCAGCGGGUAUCCUUGUCUGAUCUGAGGUCAAACCUAAGAGGUGGUAGGUAUUGUUCAGGCCGUACCGCUUCGACCGCGAACCUUGAACAAGCAUGAUUUUACUAUGUUCUGGUCGGGCCGCAGCCAGCAGAGCUUACAACUUUAAAGCCAGCUGGAUCCUGAGACCCUGCUUGCUCAAAACCGGUGGUGACCG
This 200-nucleotide unclassified non-coding RNA is filed under the name Dactylella sp. RNAcentral describes it as "partial internal transcribed spacer 2". Lineage: Eukaryota; Fungi; Ascomycota; Orbiliomycetes; Orbiliales; Orbiliaceae. The record is from RNAcentral.